This 472-nucleotide ribosomal RNA is filed under the name uncultured bacterium. RNAcentral's name for it is "bacterial SSU rRNA". It matches the Rfam family "Bacterial small subunit ribosomal RNA", at positions 917 to 1382 of the family's 1533-position model. The record is from RNAcentral.
GGGCUCACACAAGCGGUGGAGCAUGUGGUUCAAUUCGAAGCAACGCGCAGAACCUUACCUGGGCUUGACAUGCUAGGAUUAUCCCUAUGAAAGUAGGGUAGGCCCUUCGGGGUACAACUAGUACAGGUGCUGCAUGGCUGUCGUCAGCUCGUGUCGUGAGAUGUCGGGUUAAGUCCCAUAACGAGCGAAACCUUUGCCCUUAGUUACCAGCGGGUUAUGCCGGGGACUCUAAGGGGACUGCCGGUGUCAAACCGGAGGAAGGUGGAGAUGACGUCAAGUCCUCAUGGCCUUUAUGCCCAGGGCCACACACGUGCUACAAUGGGAUGGACAAAGCGAACCUAGAACGCAAGUUCAUGGAAAUCGCAAAAAUCAUCCCCCAGUUCAGAUCGGAGGCUGCAACUCGCCUCCGUGAAGUUGGAAUCGCUAGUAAUCGCGGAUCAGCUACGCCGCGGUGAAUGUGUUCCUGAGCCUU